RNAcentral lists this long non-coding RNA (17653 nucleotides) under Nicotiana benthamiana. RNAcentral describes it as "long non-coding RNA (NBEN_LNC003197)". The record is from RNAcentral. Lineage: Eukaryota; Viridiplantae; Streptophyta; Magnoliopsida; Solanales; Solanaceae.
UUCCUAGACCUUCAUUUCUGAAAAAUACAGAAGAGCAAAAUGACGCAUAAGAGCUUCUGCUGCUUCUUCUUUCAUUUUCUCAAAGACCACACAAAAAGAACCCAGCAACUCUUUAAUGAUGGAAACACCUUAACAACCUUUUUUCUUCUUCACUUGGCAGCCAUUUUCAGGCUCUCCGUCUUCAUAAAAUAAGACCCAAAUCAAAAAAAUCCCAUCUAUAAAAGAAAAGAAAAAAAUCAGAAAAACCUCCUCCUUCUCACGCAAGAAGGCAGCCAAGAAUCCACUUAUCUCCACACGCACGAAUACAUCGCUCCCUCUAAUCUCAUUCACACACAAUUUGCAUACUAGAAGCAUAUAAAUCCGAAAUCAAAUUCAGAUAUGAGAUUUGUAAAAGGACUCCAAAAUCACGAAAUAAAAAAACAGAAAUAAAAAGGAGGUUUCAGAGUUUUACGGAGUUGUAGAGUUUGAUUCGAAGCUUGGAAGCACCGUGGAAAUCGUUGUUGUCUGUUGCUGCUUUAGGCCAAGUAUGUUCUGAAUAAGACUAAAGUUUCUUUUCUGUUUGUGCAUCAAAUUGAAGGUCAGUUUUUUUUACUCUGAUUAUAUUAAGCUUUGUUAAAGUUAAGUCUAGACCACAAACCGUUGGUUUUAAAUCUAGAAUAACGCUACCUCAUGUCGGAUCCCUAGUAGUAACGAUUAUUUGCAUCAAGUACAUUUGACCUUAGGGACUCAACAUUAGGGUUGGGUUUGUCUAGGACAUGUGUACCCGAAUUAAAAAGAUCAUCCUGAUGCAUCUUACGUGCUACUUGCGCAUCUGUUUGUUUCGGCUUGCAUGUUGAUAGGCUUUUAGAAUAGGGAAAAAAAAGAAAGAAAAAAGAGACGUAUGUAUUUAGAAUAUUCUAAAACUUUGUCGAAAUGCUGAAAAAAAUGAAAAGUCAUUUCAAAAUGAGUCAAAAUUUCAAGUGCCAUGUUCCCCUAUUCCGUCUAAACUGACGGAACUACGCGGGUCUGAUUCUCACCGGAUAUGAGAUACGUAAGCAAACCUCAUUGGUUAUGAUCCCAAUUUUAAAAAAAUCAAAAAUAUUUUCCUGUAGUUCCCUUUUCGAAGUCUUUUCUUAGAAAAUAAAAAAAGACAAGAAGGAGUUUUUAAAACUCAAUAAUGGUUUCCUUCUUUCUAAUAUCUUUCAUACGAAUAAAGAAAAAUUAAUAAAAAUCAAAAUCCAAAAAUAUGGGUUUCCUUCAUUUUGAAGUAUUUUUCCAAAAAUAAUCCAAACAAAAAGCCAAAAAUACUUUUUUUCUUUUUCUUCUUUACAAGUCUUUUUUUUGUAAAUGUCCAUAAAAUUUUUUUAAAAAUUAAAGUCCAAAUAUAUUUUCGAUAUUCUUUAGAAGUGCUUUUGUAAAUAAAUAAAAACUCAGAAAUCAAAAAAUAUUUUCUUGAUAGUUACUCUUUCAAAAAUUAAUAGGAAACUUUCAAAAUUUAAAAAUAUUUUCUUUCUUCCUUAUAAAAAGAGAAAACAAAUGACAUUCAAACAAAAAUAUGUUCUUUUCACUUUUAAAAAUUUCCAAAGUUUAAAUCAAAAGAAAAGGAAUAUUUAAAAGUCUUUCUUUCAAAAAAUAAAACAAAAAUCAAAAUCAAAAAUAAAAAAAUUCCUUUCUUCUUUUAAAACAUUUCUUUCACAAAUUCACCAAAAAGGGUUAGUUUAUUUACUCCAUUUUUUAUCGUUCCGAACUAUGCUAUGAUUCGUGCGGCGUCAUGAUACGUGAAUCCCCAUCGGAUUCGAUCAUAGCCAUAAAUAAAUUAAGUGAAGACUAAAUUGAAAGGAAAAAAAAGAGAGAAUUAAAAAGUUUUGAGUGAAAAAGAAAGAAAAAUAGUGAAAAAAAGAGCGAUAAGAAAUAAAAAAAGUGACAAACAAAAACAGAGUGCCAAAAAAUUAUAGAGCGGCAAAAUAAAACAAAAAUAAGAGUGAUUAGAGAGAAACAAAGAUGAAGAAAAGAGGUCCAUACUGAAAGAGUUAGUUAAGGCCGGGAUGAAACAUGCAUCCGUUCAAACACAUGGUUGAAACAUUUAACUGUUAGGUGCAUUGCAUCCCAAUGUGCGAUUUCCUAUAUGUUAAAUGUUUCAAUACUAACAAGGUUAUUGGGUGUGAAAAUAGUCAGGUUUUGGUGGUCGGUUUUGUUCGUAGUCUGGCCUCCCCUCCUUCACAAAAUCCAAAAGCACAGAUGGACUCCGCAAGUAAUCUACCAGUUAUCGAUCCUGAGGAUAGCCCCGCAUCGGCUAUUCUACAGCUAGAAUCAGCAGUUAUUGAAGAGAAUAGAUGUUGUGUCUCUGCAUAUCGAAAAUGUGGGACGCCUGAUCUAAUCGUAGGGAAUAGCCAAGUGCAAUCCCUGAGUUCUCUGAAUUGAUCCCCAGGUCAGGUGAGGUUACCAAUGCCCUUGUGCCAAAUUCGCUCAUCCUAUGCGGGCACCCUCCAAUGCCCUCCAAUGAUCCUAGCAUGCCUUCUGUGGUUCACCCCCAGGCACCGACUUCAAGGGAACUGCCCCCAAUGUUCAUUUUUCAAGGUCCACAACUUCAACCAGAAAUAACAUAUGUGACCCGGUACUCCUUCACUCAACCUUCGCAAUAUGAUCUCUUGGGGAAGCAACAAAAGGUUGUUAAAAAUCUCGAGCAGGGGGAAAUGGCUCGAAAGAUGGAGAGCCUGGAACAAAGCCUGAAAAACUUGCAAGGUUUGAGUGGCCAAAAGAGUGUCUCUUGCUCUGGCCUCUGUAUGUUUCCCCAUGUCCACUUUCCAGCUGGCUUCAAGAUGCUAAAAUUUGAAAAGUACAAUGGGCAUGGUGACCCGGUCGUUCAUCUGAAACAAUAUUGUAACUAGUUGAAGGGUGUUGGUGGAAAAUAGGAGCUGCUAAUGGCCUAUUUUGGGGAAAGCCUCAUUAGAAUCGUUUCUGAGUGGUAUACAGAUAAAGAAAUUACUCAUUGUCACGUGUGGGACAAUAUAGCUCGAGAUUCUGUCCGCCAGUUUAAUAUAAUUUGGACAUUGCUCCUGAUAGAAACUCCUUGUCCAAUUUGAAAAAUAAAACUGCGGAAAGCUUCCGCGAAUAUGUUGUAAAAUGGCGUGAGCAAGCUGUCAGGGUAAAGCCUCCAAUAGAUGAAGUUGAAAUGGUCACUGUCUUUCUGCAGGUCCAAGAGGCUGAUUAUGUCCAAAACAUGAUGUCUGCUGUGGGUAAGCCAUUUGCUGAGGCUAUCAAAAUCGGGGAAAUGGUUGAAAACGGUUUAAAAAUAGGUUAGAUCUUGAGUCAUGCUGCUUUUAAAGCCACAUCACAAGCUACUCAAAAUGGUUUGGAGGGCUUGAUAAACGGAAAUAGGAGUGAAGAGGGAGUCAUGAUGGUUUCAAGCUCGAGGGGGCCCGAGUCAUAUGUGCCUCAUGUGAUCCAUCAACAUUAUUACCCCCUCCCAGAUGCUGCUUAUGCCAUGGCACCGCCUCCCUAUUCGGUGAUGAGCGCGCAAUCUUACACACAGCCACAACAUUAUACAUAAAACUAAGCUUCACUUCCCAGAAAUGCCCAUCAUUACCAAGCUCCAUAUAAUCCUCAGCCAAAUGACCCCCAAUACAAUCCUCUCCCAAGAGAGCCUUUUAGAAAGAAUCAAUUCACCCUUAUUGGUGAAUCACGUUCAAGCUUGUUCCAAAAGCUAAUCAGGCUAAAUCUAUUGUAGCUAGUGGCCCCGAAUCGGUCGAACCCCGAUUCCCCCUCGCACCGAGAUGAUGUUAUAUGUGAAUACCACUCUGGAGCAGUGGGACACAGUACAAAGGACCGUUAUACCCUCAAAAGGGCAAUUGAAGAUUUGAUUGAAGCUGAAAGAAUUAUUUUUCAAGAUGAAGAAGCUCUUGAUGUGACGAACAAUCUGUUGCCUACAUACAAAAACGGGCCAAUAUUUGGAAUAAUUUGUGCAGAUGAGGAACUUGAUCCGACACUGGAGGCCAUUGCAGCCAUUGUCGAGACAGAAGAAAAGCAAAAAAUGAUCACCAAGCAUGAAAGUUCCCCAUCAGAUGGGAGUCUCGGUAGCUAGUCUUGCUAUCCUUUCUGCAUCCGGACUAUCUCAGGGUGUGACCCAGAUGUUUAACUUUAUUGUCUUUCUUUCCGAUGUUAACCCUUCUAUCUUUUGCAAUUAAAAAAAUCAAAAUUUCAUUAUCCAGGAAUGUCUCUUUCCUUAAUCUUGUCAUUUUUCUUAUUCUCUUUUUAGUUCUGUUAAAUGGAGAUUUCAAUAACAUGACAUGCUUGCGGACUUCAUGCCCAGAUCCCAAAUGCUAUCAGACUUCGAAGUAAUGAAUCAAGAGUCAGAAUGCAAAGAAGAGAAGUUUGAGGAAAUAAAAUAAAGAGUUGGAACAACUGGGGAAAAUUGGAACCCGGAUUGGAAAGGUCCAUACAUUGCAACAAGAGUACUGUCAAAAGAGUGUGUUGUACUUGGGACAUAUCGAAGGAAAUGUCUCUGAAACAACUGUCAAUGCAAAUGCAAGAGAAAGGUACUAUGUUGGAUUCUCUAUAUAACAUAAAUAUUCUACGGUUGGGAUGACGAACGCUUUUAUUCUCACUACCCAAACGCUAUCAAUCAUUUGCAAAUCCUUUGAGCCGGUUACUCUUCUUUGAUUACCCUAAUUGAAAAGUGUUAUUAAAAAAAUUGAAAAAAAUGAAAAAAAAGAAGAAAAAGAAAUGAAAAAUGAAAAAAAUAGGAAAAAAGGAAAGGAAAAAGAAAGAGAAAACAAAACAAAACAAAAACAGAAAAAAAUAAAAGAAAGAUCAAAAACAAAAUGUUCCCUGAACUACAUUCGACUUGAUUCCGAAAGGAUACAUAGACAUCCUCACUUUAAGGUUCAGUCACACCAAAAUAAAAAUCCAAGGUCCCCCCGAAAGUGAAACUAGGGCAAAAGUUAUAAUGGUUCGGCGUCGGUUCGCUAGAAAGGUUCCAAAGUUUUAAAUCCAUCCAAUCUCUUUUUACCCCGAAUCAUGUUCAAGUCCUUCCGAUCAAUCGAUGAAAAUGAUUCAAGGAUCGGAGAAUGCAGCUACUUGGAUCAAAUGCAGUCAAAAUGAGAGAAAUAAAAUAAGAGAGUCUUAUUGGUGAAAACUCACACGGCACCGUAAGGCGAUGGUAAGCAGAGAAAAACCAAAAUGAGAGAGUCUUGUUAGUGAAAACCCACACGACAUUAUAAGGCGAUGGUGAAUAGAGAAUGAGAUAGGUCAGCUAGUGAAAACUUGCAAAGGGCCCCAUUGAUCGAAAAGAAGAUCCUCAUAGCUCAUCGGUAUCAAUAGAGUCCUCGCAAGGUUUCUCGAUUUUUGAGGCAAAAUUUGUGAUGAAUUUCUAAGAGUCGGACGGUUUACACAGAUCAGACAUCCAGUCCAAAAAUUAUGUGAUGUUUAUUGAAGUCUGCAUGCACUCUAGAUAAGUCCUUCUUUAUUAACCCUGAAAGGGAUACCUCUCGUUUAAAUUCAUUAUCCUAUCCAUUAUUUAUUUUUCUUUGUAUCCCUUUCGGUCUAAUUUUAUUACGGAACUGAGACAAAUAAAGGAUGGAAAGACUGAUUUACAAGGCUUUUGUUUGAUACAAGCCAAUGUGCAAAAAAAGCACACAGCCUCAGCAGGUGCAUCAAGUCGACCUCGACUAGCCAUGGCGGCCAAUACUUCGAGAUCAAAACUCUUGGAAGGAGAAAACAAAAUUGCAGCGCCUAUAAAGGCAAAUGAAGUUGAAAAGGUCAAGUCACACGUGGCUAACCGUCUCGACAAGAUUUGAAAAGGCAAAGGAUCCCAAAUGCUUUGAAGCUAAAGUUGGACGAAAAAAGCCAGAAAUAAAAGGCCUAUGAAGGCGAAAUAAAGUUGAAUAAUGUUAAGUCCUCGUGACUAGCCGUUGCGACAAAGUUUGAGGAGCCAAUAGUUCCCCAAUGCUCCAAAGUUCAAGAAAAAAAAAGAUAAAAAAAGAGAAAAGGCAAAAAUUCGGUAGGGAAAGGCCUACAAAGGCGAAAUAAAGUUGAAAGCUGAAGUCCCACAUGACCAACCGUCAUGGCAAAGUUUGGAAAAAACAAGAAGUUCUCCAAUGCUUGAAAUUAAAUCGGUCCUCAUGGAACAAGCAGUUGCAGUUGAGAUCUUCUUCUAAGAAGCCGGGCCGAGAUCAAGUGAUCAGAAGCAAUGAAGGCCAUAAACCAACCACCGUUUCAAACUAAUAAUUGUUCUUUGUUUGAAAGUUGAAACAGGUGUAAUCCAAAGCAACCAUGCAAGAAGCCGGUGCAACCAAAAAGAAAAAUGUGCAAGAGCUAGAAACAGCUCUGCAUCAAUAAUCAAUCCAAAAGGGAAGUCUCCUUCAAAUUCUUUCUUGCAUUUUUACUCAUUAUUUUAAACUAAAAAAAUGAAGAAUGAUGAAAAAAAUUAAAAGUGGAAGAAAAAUUCAAAAUCAUAGUAGCGUAGGGCCUCCAAUCUCUAGCCUUUCCAACAUAUGGACCCAUUCCCUAGUUAUCCCUGGCAUAACCCGAGGACCUUUUUCUUUUCCUCCCGGUAUAACCCGUGGACCUCCCUGGCAUAACCCAGGGGCAUUUUUUCUUUUCUCCCCGACAUAACCCGUGGACCUCCCUGGCAUAACCCAAGGACCUUUGUUUUUAUCCGGCAUAACUCGUGGACCUCUCUGACAUAACCCAAGGACCCUUUUUUUCCUCCCGGCAUAACCCGUGGUCCUUAUCGGCAUAACCCGAGGACCUUUUUGUUUUUUCCCCGGCAUAACCCGUGGACCUCCCUAGCAUAAAUCAGGGACCUUUUUUCUAUUUUUUUAUCCCGGCGUAACCCGUGGACCUCCCAGGCAUAACCCAAGGACCCUUUUUCUUUCCUCCCGGGUAUAAUCUGUGGACCUUCCCAGCAUUAACCCGAUGACCUUUUUUCAUUUCUCCCGGCAUAAACUGUGGACCUCUCUAGCAUAACCCAAGGACCUUUUCUCCCGACAUAACCCGUGGACCUCCCUGGCAUAACCCAAUGAUCUUUUCUCCCGGCACCAAAGACCCUUUUUCUUUUCUCCCGGCAUAAUCCAUUGACCUCCUUAGCAUAACCCAGGGACCUUUUUUCCUUUCUCUCGGCAUAACCCGCGGACCUCCCUGGCAUAACCAAGGACCUUUUUUCUUUUCUCCCAGCAACCCCCUGGCAUAACCCAAGGACCUUUUCUCCCGGCAUAACCCGUGGACCUCCCUGGCAUAACCCAAUGACCUUUUUUCUUUUCUCCUGGCAUAACCCGUGGACCUCCGUGGAAUAACCUAUGGACCUUUUUCUUUUCUCCUGGCAUAACCCGUGGACCUCCCUUGGCAUAACCCAAGGACCUUUUUUCUUUUCUCCCGCCAUAACCCAUGGACAUCCCUAGCAUAACCCAAGCACCUUUUUUUUUUCCCGGCAUAACCCGUGGACCUCCCUGGCAUAACCCAGGGACCUUUUUUCUUUUCUUCCGGCAUAAUCCGUGGACCUCUCCGGCAUAACCUAAGGACUUUUUUCCUUUUCUCCCCGACAUAAACUGAGGACAUUUUUCCUUUUCUCCCGACAUAACCAGUGGACCUCCUUAGCAUAACUCAGGGUCCUUUUUUCUUUUCCCUCGGCAUAACCCGUGGACCUCCCUGGCAUAACCAAGGGACUUUUUUCUUUUCUUCCGGCAUAACCCGAUGACUUUCCCGGCAUAACCCAAGGACCCUUUUUCUUUUUUGGCAUAACCCGGUCAGCUUUCCAGCAUAACCUGUCAAUCCUCCCAAUUUAGGGCUUUACUCCCUAUUUCCAAGGAUACACAAUCUUUAUUUUAUCGUUUUAAAAAAAGAUUAGAUCCUAGUUACAAAUAACUCAUAAAAUUUUCGUAGUGAAAACUGGGGCAGAAAAAUUUUGUUUGUUUGUUUGUUUCGGUGUCUGAGCAUGUUUUACCUCGAGGAACGGGAGUCGAGAUGACCAAAAGAAUAAGUCUCGAUCCAAAAUAAAGAAAAGAAGAAAAAGAACAAAAAAAUAAGUGAACCCAAAGUGUUGAAGUGGAGAAGGAUGGGUAUUGCUCAAGAUAUGAUUGAAGUUAGAAGUUUUGCAUAUCCCACCUUGAUCCAAAACUGAAGAAAGAACCAGCACCUACAACUAACGAGCAUCAAGAUUCAGAUCGGAGUCUGAUACAAGAACUAGCCAAGACUCAAGAUCAAGCUUCAAGAGAUUUACAGAUAGGAAUCUUGUAACUCGUAGUUGAUAGGCUUAGCUAUAUUAGUUUUAUAUUUUCUAUUUUUGGUGUAAUAAAGGAGCUUAGCAAGCAGAAACAUCAACAGUAGUGAAAUCAUAGUUUCUCGGUAGUCCCAGCUACCAAAACUUCCAGAACUACACUGACCUGAUUCUUUUAUAGCCAGGGAUAUGUAGGAAACCUUUGAAGAAAGGUUUGAUCAAGCUCUUUCCAAAAAUGCUUCUCAUGGAGUUUCUUAAACGAGAAAAAAUCGCUCGUAAUUGCUCAUUUUACUUUUGCCCGAAAAUCAUUUGUGUCUCCGAGCAAAUAGGGGCAGUUGUGAGCAUGCGAUUUUUUCCCUGUAUAGAUUGCUCCUACAAAAUCAAAGAAAAUAGAUUUUUUCCAAUUAUUUGCCAUUUUAUAGGAUUUUGUCGGAUUUUUAUUAAUUGUUUGCAUUUUUGUGCAUGUUUGAUAUUAUUUUAAUCAUAAAAAAGAAAAACCAAAAUAUCAUGCAUUGCAUUUAGGAUUUGUUUAUAUAUUUAGAAUUAGCCAGUAAUUAUUUUCUUCAUAAACUUUAAAAAUCACAAGAAAAUACUUCAUUUUUACACUUGCCUUUUAUUUUUAGGUUAUUGAUUUUUCUCUUUAAUUUAGGAUUAAAUAGCUUUUAUAAUUUUUUUAAAUUUGUUAAUUUGUGUAAUUUCACACUUUUUAAGAUAAUCUAAGAUUUUAAUUUCUAGAAUUUUUAAUUAAAGAAAAAAAAGAAAGAGAAAAUAAGGAGUUUAAUUAUUAGGUUUAAAUUCAAGACUUGGGCAAUUUUAAAGCCAAAACCAGCCUAAUCUACCAUACUUGAUACCCUCUUGGCCCAAACUCUUUUAUUUAAAGGACAAAAAUCAAACCAAAAUGACCAACUAUGCUGAGGUAGCCAGGAGAAAUACCUUUGCAAUACUCAUCAUAGUUGUACCCCUUGAUGAAAGCCAGCAACAGGGAGAAUGCAACCUAGAGCCAAUUGAUCCAGGAGGUACUACUGCCACUGUUUCUCUAUGAUAGUUGUAACCUGGAACAUUAGAGGACUAAACAAGUCCUACAAGCAAAGAGAGUUAGUCAAAUUCCNNNNNNNNNNNNNNNNNNNNNNNNNNNNNNNNNNNNNNNNNNNNNNNNNNNNNNNNNNNNNNNNNNNNNNNNNNNNNNNNNNNNNNNNNNNNNNNNNNNNNNNNNNNNNNNNNNNNNNNNNNNNNNNNNNNNNNNNNNNNNNNNNNNNNNNNNNNNNNNNNNNNNNNNNNNNNNNNNNNNNNNNNNNNNNNNNNNNNNNNNNNNNNNNNNNNNNNNNNNNNNNNNNNNNNNNNNNNNNNNNNNNNNNNNNNNNNNNNNNNNNNNNNNNNNNNNNNNNNNNNNNNNNNNNNNNNNNNNNNNNNNNNNNNNNNNNNNNNNNNNNNNNNNNNNNNNNNNNNNNNNNNNNNNNNNNNNNNNNNNNNNNNNNNNNNNNNNNNNNNNNNNNNNNNNNNNNNNNNNNNNNNNNNNNNNNNNNNNNNNNNNNNNNNNNNNNNNNNNNNNNNNNNNNNNNNNNNNNNNNNNNNNNNNNNNNNNNNNNNNNNNNNNNNNNNNNNNNNNNNNNNNNNNNNNNNNNNNNNNNNNNNNNNNNNNNNNNNNNNNNNNNNNNNNNNNNNNNNNUUGAUGAUAGAAUAUAUAGCCAUAUUGACUGAGCUUUUGGUAAUGCUCAGUGGUUCAACUUGUACACAGGAGUGGAAGCAGUUUAUAUGUUGCCUGGGGUUUCAGAUCAUACUCCUUUAUUGAUAGAUACUGACAUUGUCAAAGUUAGAGUUAAAAGACCAUAUAGGCUGCUGCUAACAGUUAUGCAACAAAAUGACUACAAGGAAACAGUUCAAAGAGUGUGGGGUCAAAUUCAAGGACACACUAUGCAUUCUAUUUGGAGCAAACUGAGGAAAAUUGAACAAAAGACCAGAACUAUUCAUCAGGAGCAUUCAUCUGUGGACACAAAGCUGCAACAACUGAGGGAAGAAUGGGAAGGUAUUCAAGAACAAAUAUUGAGGAAGAAGUCAAGAGCAAACUGGAUUCAGUUGGGUGACAGCAACACAAAAUACUUCCAUGCGUAUAUGAAAUCCAGACAAGCCAGGAACAGGGUGAGUAGCAUACUCAAUGACAACCAGAUGAGGAUCACAGACCCACAUCAGAUCCAAGAAGAGUUCAUUCAAUUUUUUCAACAACUUCUGGGCACAGCAGCAGACCAGCUCCCUGGAAUAGAUAUCAAUGUGGCUAGGGAUGGGCCAUGUCUAUCACUGAACCAACAGCAGCAACUCCUAGCUCGAGUAACAAAGGAAGAAAUCAGUCAGAUAGUUCACAAUCUCCCUAAUGAUAACGCUCCUGGGAUAGAUGGAUACCAUGCAGAGUUCUUCAAACAGUUUUGGCCUAUUGUGGGUGAAGAGGUUAUAGAUGCAGUGCAACCGUUUUUUCAAAAUGGGAAGUUGCUGAAAGAAGUUAACUGUACCACUAUUACAUUGAUCCCGAAAGUGAAGAAUCCUAACUAUGUCAAGGAGUACAAACCAAUUGCUUGCUGCUCAACACUAUACAAAGUCAUUCCAAAAAUUCUUACAAACAGGCUGAAAAUAGUGGUGGACUAACUGGUUGGGCAGGCACAGUCAGCCUUCAUUAGAGGAACAUUCUGGACAAUGUCAUUAUGGCCCAUGAAUUGAUUAGAGCUUAUUCCCAGAAGGUUGUUUCCCCCAGAUGCAUAAUCAAAGUGGAUAUCAGGAAAGCCUAUGAUUCUGUCAAAUGGGAAUUUCUGAGAGCAGUACUGCUGGAGUUUGGUGUACCUUACAGAAUGGUCAACUUAAUCAUGGAAUGUGUUUCUACAGCAAGUUUUUCCCUGCUAGUUAAUGGUGGCCUUACCAGCAAGUUUGCAGCAAGGAAGGGGCUAAGACAGGGAGACCCAAUGUCUCCCUAUCUAUUUGUCUUAGUCAUGGAAUACCUCAACAGAACACUGAAGCAGCUGAGUAAGAAUCCAGACUUCAACUUCCAUCCCAAAUGCUCCAAAUUGCAACUAACUCACAUCUAUUUUGCAGACGACCUCCUGAUGUGCUGUAGAGGAGAUGAGACUUCCCUGAGGCUUUUACUGAAAGAGUUUGACAACUUCUCACAGAUGUCUGGGUUGCAAGCCAAUCUGGACAAAAGCUCCUUGUACAUAACUGGGGUAUCACAGGAAACCAAAAAUAGUCUACUGGCAGAAUUCUAGCUUACAGAAGGACAACUCCCAUUCAAACAUCUGGGAGUUCCCUUGUCAACUAGGAAGAUCACAAUUGAACAAUGCUUACCCUUGGUGGACAAGAUAGUGGACAAGGUCAGAUGCUGGUCCUCCAAGACACUGUCCUAUGCUGGAAGACUCCAAUUGAUCAAGAGUGUCCUUUUUGAGAUACAAACAUACUGGGCACAGGUCUUCCUAAUUCCAAAGAAAGUCAGCAAGCUGGUGGAAGGUAUAUGCAGAAAUUACUUAUGGACAGGGAAACAUGAAGCAAGUCACAGGGCACCCAUAGCUUGGGACACAGUCUGCAAGCCAGUGGCAGCAGGUGGCCUGAAUGUUAUAUGCUUUGAAAAGUGGAACAGAGCAGCAUUGUCAAAGCUACUAUGGGCACUAAUGCAAAAAAAAGGACAAACUAUGGAUCAAAUGGAUCCAUUGCCAUUAUAUAAAAAGGAAGGAGGUGACUAACAUGGAAGUACCAAAGCAGGCAAGCUGGUUGGUAAGGAAAAUAUUUGGAUCUAGGGACCGGUGGGCACAUGACUGGGCAGCAAUGCAAUCUUGCUGCCAGAAGGGAAAAUACAACAUCAAAAGUGCAUACAGGUAUUCCAUUCCACAGUCCACCAAAGUACCCUGGAAAAAGCUGGUGAUGGUGCCAGGUAUUCUGCCGAAACAGAAAUUCAUUCUAUGGAUGACAUUGCAUCGACGCUUGGCAACAGUAGACAUGCUAGAAAAAUAGGGUAUACACACGGACCAGGCCUGCUUUUUAUGUGACAGUGGCAACACAGAGACACAUGAUCACCUUUUCUUUGAAUGUCCUUACUCACAAUCACUGUGGCAAGGAUUACUAAGGUGGCUGAACUGCAAUAGAAUGUUACACAACUGGAAGCAUGAAGUCCAAUGGCUAUCUGACAGAGUAAAUAAUAGGAACCCAAGGAAAUCCAUACUAGGAGUGGUAUUCGCCGCAGUUAUAUAUAAUAUCUGGAUGGGAAGGAAUGAAAGACGAUUCAAACAAUCGAGCAUGGAUGCUAAGAUUAGAGCACGACUGAUUGCACAGCAAGUGCACAUCACUGAAAGGAAGAUGAACAAAUGGUAGCCUACUCUACAAUACUUAAAUUGUUACCCGCUUUGUAAUCCUUGAAUAUAGUUACAGUUUUGUAGAUUAGAAGUUAGUUCAACAACUUUCGGGUUGUAUAUUGGAUAGUUAAUCAAGUUUUGAGAGGUAUUCUAUAGUCCCAAAGAAAUUUUUCAUUUUGACCAAAAAAAAAAAAGGCAAAACCUAAACCUAAAUGAGUAGAGUUUUCAUAGCUCUAAGACCUUCACAUCUGAAAAAUACAGAAGAGCAAAAACGGCGCACAAAAGCUUCUGCUACUUCUUCUUUCAUUUUCUAGAAAAUCACUCAAAAAGAACCCAACAGCUCUUUAACGAUGGAAACACCUUAACAACCUUUCUUCUUCUUCACUUGGCAGCCAUUUUCUGGCUCUCCAUCUUCACAAAAGAAGACCCAAAUCUGAAAAUCCCAUCUCUAAAAGAAAAGAAAAGAAAUAUUCGGAAAAACCUCCUCCUUCUCACGCAAGAAGGUAGCCAAGAAUCUACUGAUCUCCACACACACGAAUACAUCACUCUCUCUAAUCUCAUUCACACACAAUUUGCACGCUAGAAGCAUAUAAAUCCGGAAUCAAAUACAGAUCUGAGAAUUGUAAAAGGACUCCAUAAACACGAAAUUAAAAAAAACAGAUAUAAAAAGGAGGUUUCAGAGUUUAAUGGAAUUGUGGAGUUUGGUUCGAAGCUGGGAAGCGCCGUGGAAAUCGUUGUUGUCUGUUGCUGCUUUAAGCCAAGUAUGUUCUGAAUAAGACCAAAAUUUCUUUUUCUGUUUGUGCAUCAAAUUAAAGGUCAGGUUUUUUAUUUUGGUUAUGUUGAGCUUUGUUAAAGUUAAGUGUUAGCGGAAGAGUACUAGUAUUUUAUCAAAUUAUAAAUAUUCUCAACAGUAGUAUAAUAUAUUUUGCCAAUAUCAAUUAAAAUUCAUGUUUCUGCUUUUGGUCAUUGAUCAAAUUAUUUACAACGUAACUUCUUAUAUUUUGGUGUCUUUCUUGAUGUGUUACAUUUUUACUACUUUGCUACUUGGAAUUAUAUCAUUCUAUGUGAAAAUAAUCUUCUCUUUUCACACUCAAGGUGUACAUAAAUAAUCAAGAAGUUAAUCCACUGAAACGGUUGACUUAAUCGAAAUGAUAUUCUUUUUAAAGUUUGUAGUGAUUGAUCAAAUCUGUUGGUUUUAUUCUAGAAUGGAAGUCCAUAAUGUUCUUUUGUAACAAGGUUUAGAAAUUUUGUGUAAAUGUAUUAAUUUACAUGAAUGUUCGGAACAUAAGGUGAUAAGUAGAUAAAUUGAUUUCUUCUUCUUCACUUUAUUUGUUUGAAUAUUUUGAAGGAAGAAUUAUAAGUAAAUAAUUUGUUUAUUCCCAAUUAUGUCUAAGUAGACAAAUUACAGCAAGUUUGAGUGUAAAACUUUGAAGUUGCAGAGUCAAAUGGGUUUAAGGUUACUUGGCCUUUCCAGCCCAGUGAACACAUGUUCACCAACUGGCUUGCAAUGUACUAUAAUUUCAAUUGUGGCGUUACCUCGAGAAAUCCAGUGCCAUAAUGUAUUUAGCGAUCCUACCCAAAAGAUCAAUUAGUCCAAUUCAAUUGGUUUUUGUUGAUUACUCACGCUGAAAUAGUUGCUAUGAUAGCGUCACAAAAAAAUAUCCAAAUGCAUAAAUACCGUAGUCUGCUUUAGAACCGAUUUAGAGUAGUAUUGCGAUUAUGUAUAUAUUCGCAUAAUAUAAUUGCAAAUUUAACUCUAAAAAAAGACUCGAGGGAUGCGUUCGCACAACUUUCAACCAAACUUUCUUGAUAAAUCAACAAAAAAUAUUAUUAAUCGUGGACACGUCCGCGUGACAUGAUUUUAUCGCGCCAAAAGAAAAAAGUAUCCAUAUACGUAACUCAAUUCUUUAAUUACGAAUAAUUCAAGUAAUUUAAAAGCGGUAAAAAUGACUGCACAAAUGUUCUAAAAAUGAGUAGUUAAAUAAUUAACCCAAGUAUAAAUUGCUAAGGGACCGUGCUAGAACCAUGGAACUUGGAAAUACCUAACACCUUCUCCCGGGUUAACAGAAUUUCUUAUCUAAAUGGGAUUUUUUAGCCCAUUUAAAAAUGAGGCUUAUAAGCCCGGCCAAGUCAGCCCGCUGGCUCUUGAGGCUAGAUCGAGGCUGGUCCUGGGCCAGCUCGUGGGCCAAAUAUUAAUUAUAUUAAAAUUUAAGUAUUAAAAAAAGUAAAACUAAAACAAGAUAUUCACUAUUACCCCGUUUUCAAACCUUUGAUUGUUCAUUAACCCUUACAUAUCAACUAGAAUUUAUAUUUUUGAUAUUCAUGUAGUAUGACAAGAUUAGUUUUUAUUUUUUGCUUAAUUAACAAUGAACUAGGAAAGUUUUAAGUGGCCAAUAAUUUUUUUCAAAAGAAAAUAUUAUUUUAAGUGGCCAAUGAUCGAUUUGGUUACUUUAACAUAUCAUUAAUUAUUAAAUUUCUCUACAGUAUUGAAAAGGGUCAAAUUUUAAUACCCAAAAAGUGACAAUACUAGCAAAUAUCAUGAAUUUUAAGAAUUUCAUGGGACUAUAAUGAUGAAAUUGUAAUGACUCGACCAUUCGUUUGAACUCUAGCAUGGCGUUCAGUAGUUUGAGGCCAUGAACAGCUUUAUUUCAGGUGUUUUGACUUGUGCAUGUGGUCAGAAUUGAACUUCAGGAAAUUCAGAGUUGAUUUAGAAAGAAAAUUCUCAUUUCAGAAGUCUCAAGUUGAAAGGAUUAGCUAAGAUCGGAACUUUGAGUAAACAACCCCGGAAUCAUGAUUUGAAGUUUCUAUCAGGUUCGUAUGACGACUUCGUACUUGAGCAUAUGCUCGGAUCGGGUUUUGGAUAACCCGGGAACAUUCUGCUGCCUAUUGAGGAAGCUUGCAUUUUGGAAGAAAUUUCAUAAGCUUGGGUUGAAGAGAAUUUCAGUGAUAUCGAUGUCUGUUUAGGAUUCCGAGUCCACGAGUAGCUCUGUAUGGUAAUUUUUGAAUUGGGAGCGCAAUCGUAAGUGAAUUCGAAAGUCCCUGGGUCAUUUUGGAGUCAUUUGGCUAAAGAUAGAAAUUUGAAGGUUUUUGAGAAGUUUGACCGGAAGUGGACUUUUUGAUAUCGAGGUCGAAUCUGAUUUUGAAAGUUGGAGUAGGUCCGUAAUGUCGAAUAUGACUUGUGAGAAAAAUUUAAGGCCAAUCGGACGUGAUUUGAUAGGUUUAAUCAUCGUUAGUAAAAGCUUGAAGUUCUAAAGUUCAUAAAACUUGGAUUGGAGGUCGAUUCGUGGUUUAGCAUUGUUUGCUAUGAUUUGACGCCUCGAGCAAGUCCAUAAUGUGUUUUGGGACUGAUUGAUAUGAUUGGUUGGGGUCCUGAGGGACUUGGGUGGAUUCUUAUGGUUAACGGAUCAAAAAUGAGAUUCUUGAAAGGGCUGAAGUUGUUGGUUACUAAUAUAACCGCACCUGCGAAAUUCGGACCGCAUAUGCGGAGCCGCAGAAGCGGCCAUAAGAGCCGCAGACGCGUUUUUGGCCAGAAGUAAAGAAACCACAGAUGCAGUCAUGGACCUGUAGAAGCGGGAUAGCACCUGCAGUGGAUGAGGCACAAAAGCGAAAAAAGGGAGCCUGGAGGAAACCACAGAAGCGGUAGAUUGACUCGCACAUGCGGAACCGCAGAAACGAUCAAGGGACCGUAGGUGUGAAAAUGCUGGAGGCAGUUAGGUUCUUUAUAUCGGGGGUUUGGUUCAUUUCAACCCUAUUUUCUUCCAUUGGAGCCGACUUUGGAUCAACUUUGAGGUGUUAUUUUUACCACCAAGCAUGAGGUAAGUAAUUUAUGCUAGUUUUGAGUUAAAUACAUGAUUAUAUACGAAUUUGGACAUGGAAAUUUUUGAAAAAUUUGGGGUUUGAGGGAAAACCUAAAAAAUUGAUAUUCUUGGAAUUUAACAACGAUUUUGGGUAUGGAAUUAAGAGAAAAUCAUAUAUUUAAGUUCGUGAGUUCAUGGGUAAACCUUAUCUUCGAAAUUUUUUAGAAUCUGGUCACGUGGCUCGAGAGCGUUUUUGUCAACUUUUCGAUCGGGGUUAGAAAUUGUUAUAAAUUGGAUUAUAAUGAGUAAUUGAGCAUAUAUUAAUGGCUUUGCAUGAUUAUUGGCUAUAUUUGGAGCAGUUAGCAUCGAUUCGAGUCUUCGGAAAGGCGUGGAAUGCCGGUUAUGGAUCUUCGGAGCGAGAUGAGUCUCCUUUCUAACCUUCUUAGAGGGAAUUGUCCCAAUAGGUGAAAUAAUUAAUUAUGUGCUCCUAUUUGUGGGGGCUAAAUACGCAUGAAGUGACAGGUGUCCGUGCGUAGCUACUAAUAUGUGUAAUUCCGGGUAGUCUAGGACCCAAAAGCAUGAUGUACUUGAAAUAUCUAUGAUCUUAUUUAUAGUUGAAUUUCUUAUAUUCUAUUGGUAAAUAAAUUUCUAAAAGGAUCAAUCUUCAUUUUCUUAAAUUAAUAAAAGAGAAUUGGCUUUUAUUUGGAUAAAUGUUCCCCGAUAAAUUCUUAAUUUACUUUCUGAGCAUAUAUUUGCAUCCUAUUUAAGGUCCACGAGCAAGAUAAUUGCUUAUUUAAUUUUUGACCGCGUCGCAUGUAUGGUUCACGAGCGGGGUAAUAGGUGUAUCUAUGGUUCGCACCGUUCGACCUCGACAGUGCACAUUUUAUAUUUAUGUUGGAUCGGGUCGUACGACCUCGGCAUGAAUUGCGCAUGUUUGUACUGCUUUUCUUGAGAUUUAUUGAUAUUGAUAUCUACUCUCCCCGACUUGGGAUAAUUGUUAAUUAAUGGAUUGUGAAUCCGUAGACUUUUAAUAAAAGGAACUUUUACCUGUUUCGUGACUUAUCUGAAUUUACUGUUAAUAAUAAAACUAUGAUUCUUUGCAUUAAUAAUGUUAUUAUUGGACCAUUAGUAAGUGUCGAAGUCCAUCUCUCAUCUCUACUUCUUCGAGAUUAGACGGGAUACUCAUUGGAUACACGUUGUUUUCGUACUCAUACUACACUUGCUAUGCAUUUUUGUUGCAUAGGUUUAUAUGUGGCUAGUGCUUAGUGGCAUAGCAACAUGGUUGAUGCAAAGACUUAGGUGAGCUGCACUUCUCGGGACGACCCGCAGACAAUAGAGUCUCC